Cercocebus atys (sooty mangabey) is the source of this 107-nucleotide small nuclear RNA. NCBI's taxonomy places the organism in Eukaryota, Metazoa, Chordata, Mammalia, Primates, Cercopithecidae. The record is from Ensembl.
GUGCUUGCUUCAGUAGCACAUAUACUAAGAUUGAAACAAUACAGAGAAGAUUAGCAGGGCCUGUGAGCAAGGAUGACAUGCAAAUUCUUGAAGCAUUUCAUAUUUUG